CCUACGGGUGACAGCAGUGGGGAAUCUUGCACAAUGGGCGAAAGCCUGAUGCAGCGACGCCGCGUGAGUGAAGAAGUUUUUCGGAAUGUAAAGCUCUGUCAGCAGGGACGAAAAUGCCGGUACCUGAUUAAGAAGCACUGGCUAACUACGUGCCAGCAGCCGCGGUAAUACGUCGGGGGCAAGCGUUCUCCGGUUUUACUGGGGGUAGAGGGAGCGUGGACGGCAGGUCAAGUCUGGAGUGAAAGCCCUGGGCUUAACCCGGGAACUGCCUUGGUAACUGGGCAACUAGAGUGCAGGAGAGGAGAGUGGAAGUCCUAGUGUAGCGGUGAAAUGCGUAGAUAUUAGGAGGAACACCAGUGGCGAAGGCGGCUUACUGGUGUGUAACUGACGUUGAGGCUCGAAAGCGUGGGUAGCAAACAGGAUUAGAUACCCUAGUAGUC
RNAcentral lists this ribosomal RNA (440 nucleotides) under uncultured bacterium. Its description in RNAcentral is "partial 16S ribosomal RNA". It matches the Rfam family "Bacterial small subunit ribosomal RNA", at positions 338 to 795 of the family's 1533-position model. The record is from RNAcentral.